This 340-nucleotide ribosomal RNA is filed under the name uncultured bacterium. RNAcentral describes it as "bacterial SSU rRNA". It matches the Rfam family "Bacterial small subunit ribosomal RNA", at positions 1166 to 1505 of the family's 1533-position model. The record is from RNAcentral.
GAGGAAGGUGGGGAUGACGUCAAGUCAUCAUGGCCCUUAUGGGUAGGGCUACACACGUCAUACAAUGGACGGUACAGAGGGCUGCCAACCCGCGAGGGGGAGCCAAUCCCAGAAAACCGUUCGUAGUCCGGAUUGCAGUCUGCAACUCGACUGCAUGAAGUCGGAAUCGCUAGUAAUCGCGGAUCAGCUUGCCGCGGUGAAUACGUUCCCGGGUCUUGUACACACCGCCCGUCACACCAUGGGAGUGGGGUUUACCAGAAGUCGUUAGCCUAACCGCAAGGAGGGCGAUGACCACGGUAGGCUUCAUGACUGGGGUGAAGUCGUAACAAGGUAGCCGUAA